Non-coding RNA from Sinocyclocheilus rhinocerous, 71 nucleotides. Lineage: Eukaryota; Metazoa; Chordata; Actinopteri; Cypriniformes; Cyprinidae. The record is from the annotation of a RefSeq genome assembly.
GCAUUGGUGGUUCAGUGGUAGAAUCUUUGCCUGCCAUGCAGGAGACCCGGGUCCGAUUCCCGGCCUAUGCA